GAUGAAGAACGUAGCGAAAUGCGAUAAGUAAUGUGAAUUGCAGAAUUCAGUGAAUCAUCGAAUCUUUGAACGCACCUUGCACCCUUUGGUAUUCCGAAGGGUAUGCUCGUUUGAGUGUCAUUGUACUCUCACACUUCUAAUUCCUUUCGGGAUUGGGAGCGGUGGACUUGGGUGUUGCUGCUUUAGUUGUGGCUCACCUCAAAUAAGUUAGUGCAACUCUUGGUUGGACAUAGUACGGCGUGAUAAGUGUCUUCGCCGGCGCCUCUGUAAGGAGGGUGGCCGAUCGGGAGCUCUGUGCUUCAAACCGUCUUCGGACAAUCUUUGACAACUUGACCUCAAAUCGAGUAGGACUACCCGCUGAACUUAUGCAUAUCAAUAAGCGGAGGA
Molecule: unclassified non-coding RNA, 387 nt
Filed under: soil metagenome
Description: partial contains 5.8S ribosomal RNA, internal transcribed spacer 2, and large subunit ribosomal RNA
Rfam family: 5.8S ribosomal RNA (bases 1-120)
Source: RNAcentral